Molecule: transfer RNA, 72 nt
Filed under: Camelus bactrianus (Bactrian camel)
Lineage: Eukaryota; Metazoa; Chordata; Mammalia; Artiodactyla; Camelidae
Also listed under: 2 other names
Rfam family: tRNA
About the family: Transfer RNA (tRNA) molecules are approximately 80 nucleotides in length. Their secondary structure includes four short double-helical elements and three loops (D, anti-codon, and T loops).
Source: Rfam by way of RNAcentral
GAAGGUAUAGCUCUAUGGUAGAAUGUGUGCUUAGCAUGCACAAGGUCCUAGGUUCAAUCCCCAGCACUUCCA